Molecule: ribosomal RNA, 432 nt
Filed under: Isochrysis galbana
Lineage: Eukaryota; Haptophyta; Isochrysidales; Isochrysidaceae
Description: partial Bacterial large subunit ribosomal RNA
Rfam family: Bacterial large subunit ribosomal RNA
Source: RNAcentral
AGGGUUAGUCGGGUCCUAAGGCGAACCCUAACGGGGUAGUCGAUGGACAACAGAUUAAUAUUUCUGUACUAGCAUAUAAUGUGAUGGAGUGACGGAGGAGUGAAAGAUCCGCGUACUGACGGAAUAGUACGUUAAAAAGUGUAGGUAUACGUUUACUAGGUAAAUCCGGUAGAUGUGCUGAAGCUUGAUAGUACCGCGAGCCUUCGGGCAAGCGGAUAGUGAUCCUAAUCUGACUCCCAAGAAAAACUUCUAAACUUAGUUAUAUGCUACCCGUACCGUAAACCGACACAGGUAGUCAAGGAGAGAAUCCUGAGGUGCUCGAGUGAUUCAUGGCUAAGGAACUAGGCAAAAUAGUCCUGUAACUUCGGAAGAAAGGACGCCACGCUUUGCGUGGCCGCAGUGAAUAGGCCCAGGCGACUGUUUAUCAAAAAC